UUUUGGACAAUGGGCGCAAGCCUGAUCCAGCAAUGCCGCGUGGGGAAGAAGGCCUUCGGGUUGUAAACCACUUUUGUACGGAACGAAACGGUUUGCUUUAAUACAGUGGGCUAAUGACGGUACCGUAAGAAUAAGCACCGGCUAACUACGUGCCAGCAGCCGCGGUAAUACGUAGGGUGCACGCGUCAAUCGGAAUUACUGGGCGUAAAGCGUGCGCAGGCGGUUAUAUAAGACAGUUGGGAAAUCCCCGGGCUCAACCUGGAAUUGCAUCUGUGACUGUAUAGCUAGAGUACGGUAGAGGGGGAUGGAAUUCCGCGUUAGCAGUAAAUGCGUAGAUAUGCGGAGGAACCCCGAUGGCGAAGGCAAUCCCCUGACCGUCUACGUCAUCAAAAG
This 393-nucleotide ribosomal RNA is filed under the name uncultured bacterium. RNAcentral describes it as "bacterial SSU rRNA". It matches the Rfam family "Bacterial small subunit ribosomal RNA", at positions 362 to 751 of the family's 1533-position model. The record is from RNAcentral.